This is a long non-coding RNA of Labrus bergylta (ballan wrasse), 480 nucleotides long. RefSeq lists it as uncharacterized. Lineage: Eukaryota; Metazoa; Chordata; Actinopteri; Labriformes; Labridae. The record is from RefSeq and is a predicted model, not a curated record.
CCUCCUACUGCGAGAAGCAUGUGCGCGCUAGCUAGAAUAGCAGAGAUUGUAUUUAACAUAUCUGGGAGAAAUGUUUUAGUGUGCUUUUUGAGCUUUCACUAUUGUAAUACAUAGAUGAAGCUUGAACUAUAUAUAUUUUUUUAUUAGUAUGCAUUUUGGAGUAUCGUGAAGGCCGCUGCAGCUUGGGAGUGUGGAGGUACAUCAUCAGGUGAUGCUCGCAGGUCGGAUGCGGUGUUUGUGAGGUGAUUGCACCACUACACGUGGGCAGAUGGUCGGCUCAGGCCUCCCCUGGACGAAAUGGAUGUUGGUGUUAAUGGAUCCUCUGAGUAGCACCAUUAUAUCGGACCUCAAGAAACGGACAUCUGACUGUAAGUGAUGAGGUGUAUAAACGGUGUGUUUUAAACCAAAGUGUAUAUUUUAUUUGUAAUUCAUGGAAAGAAUAAAAAUGUCCAUUAUCAAUAAAACAUUUUUUUCACACUC